GACGAACGCUGGCGGCGUGCUUAACACAUGCAAGUCGAACGGUGAAGCUCCAGCUUGCUGGAGUGGAUCAUUGGCGAACGGGUGAGUAACACGUGAGCAACCUGCCCCUGACUCUGGGAUAAGCGCUGGAAACGGCGUCUAUUAUAGCAUACGAGAUGUUGCCGCACGGGCACUUUCUGUGAAGUCCUGCGGUUGGGGAUGGGCUGGAGGCCUAUCAGCUUGUUGGGGAGGUAAUGGCGGACCAAGGCUACGAAGGGUAGCCCGCCUGGGAGGGCGAACGGCCACACUGGGACUGCGAGACGGAGCAGACUCCUACGGUAGGCAGCAGUGGAGAAUAUUGCAGAAUGAGCGAAAGCCUGAUGCGGAGACGCCGCGUGCGGGAUGACGGCCUUCGGGUUGUAAACAUCUUUCAGCGGGGAAGAAGCGAAAGUGACGGUACCUGCUGAAGAAGCACCGGCUAACUACGUG
RNAcentral lists this ribosomal RNA (468 nucleotides) under uncultured bacterium. RNAcentral describes it as "partial 16S ribosomal RNA". It matches the Rfam family "Bacterial small subunit ribosomal RNA", at positions 28 to 507 of the family's 1533-position model. The record is from RNAcentral.